UUAUUGGAGAGGGGCUUGAAGAGAAGGGGGCUAAAUAUAGAAAUUACAGUACCUCCAUUCCUUCCUCUCCCUUCCCAAACAUGCUGCAGGAGAGGUUGAUGUAUAAUUUGCAUGUUAUGUACCUGGUAAUAUGGAGAAAUGAGCUAGUAAAUAUAUUCUUGCCCAUAAUUAGUUGCUGAUUAAAUGUUCAAAGAUACACAUUAAGCAUGAAGAACAAAUGGAAGAUACCCACAGCCAACACAUUUUCAACAAAUAUAUAUGGAUUUGUUCACUUCAUUUCUUACUUUCGACACAAGUAAUUAGAGUAAUU
This is a non-coding RNA of Paramuricea clavata, 310 nucleotides long. The record is from the annotation of a GenBank genome assembly. NCBI's taxonomy places the organism in Eukaryota, Metazoa, Cnidaria, Anthozoa, Malacalcyonacea, Plexauridae.